RNAcentral lists this ribosomal RNA (166 nucleotides) under uncultured Hyphomonas sp. RNAcentral's name for it is "partial 16S ribosomal RNA". It matches the Rfam family "Bacterial small subunit ribosomal RNA", at positions 340 to 523 of the family's 1533-position model. The record is from RNAcentral. Lineage: Bacteria; Pseudomonadati; Pseudomonadota; Alphaproteobacteria; Hyphomonadales; Hyphomonadaceae.
UACGGGAGGCAGCAGUGGGGAAUCUUGCACAAUGGGCGAAAGCCUGAUGCAGCCAUGCCGCGUGAAUGAUGAAGGCCUUAGGGUUGUAAAAUUCUUUCGCUAGGGAUGAUAAUGACAGUACCUAGUAAAGAAGCCCCGGCUAACUUCGUGCCAGCAGCCGCGGUAA